This 498-nucleotide ribosomal RNA is filed under the name uncultured bacterium. RNAcentral's name for it is "bacterial SSU rRNA". It matches the Rfam family "Bacterial small subunit ribosomal RNA", at positions 28 to 514 of the family's 1533-position model. The record is from RNAcentral.
GAUGAACGCUAGCUACAGGCUUAACACAUGCAAGUCGAGGGGAAACGAUAUUGGAAGCUUGCUUCCGAUAGGCGUCGACCGGCGCACGGGUGAGUAACGCGUAUCCAACCUGCCCAUCACUUGGGGAUAACCUUGCGAAAGUAAGACUAAUACCCAAUGACGUCUCUAGAAGACAUCUGAAGGAGAUUAAAGAUUUAUCGGUGAUGGAUGGGGAUGCGUCUGAUUAGCUUGUUGGCGGGGUAACGGCCCACCAAGGCGACGAUCAGUAGGGGUUCUGAGAGGAAGGUCCCCCACAUUGGAACUGAGACACGGUCCAAACUCCUACGGGAGGCAGCAGUGAGGAAUAUUGGUCAAUGGACGAGAGUCUGAACCAGCCAAGUAGCGUGCAGGAUGACGGCCCUAUGGGUUGUAAACUGCUUUAUAAGGGAAUAAAGCGAGUCUCGUGAGGCUUUUUGCAUGUACCUUAUGAAUAAGGACCGGCUAAUUCCGUGCCAGCAG